RNAcentral lists this transfer RNA (60 nucleotides) under Gammarus pisinnus. RNAcentral describes it as "tRNA-Met". Lineage: Eukaryota; Metazoa; Arthropoda; Malacostraca; Amphipoda; Gammaridae. The record is from RNAcentral.
UAAAAGGUAAGCUAAAAAAGCUUAAGGGCUCAUAACCCUUCUAUGGAUAACCCCUUUUAA